Vigna radiata var. radiata (mung bean) is the source of this 3925-nucleotide RNA transcript. It is a transcript of the gene named pre-mRNA-splicing factor SYF1, with no coding region annotated. The record is from RefSeq and is a predicted model, not a curated record. The transcript is spliced from 7 exons. Lineage: Eukaryota; Viridiplantae; Streptophyta; Magnoliopsida; Fabales; Fabaceae.
CUCUGUAUGGUGGUAGCUGCAGCAUCUGCCAAGCUUGGUAAAUUUCGUUAUUGUAUAGUAUGCUGUAAAUUAUAAAUUAUAAAGAUAGACUCAGGCUCACAAAUCUCACUCCCGCUUCAAUAGACUCUAUUUACGUUUGGGGUAGAACUCAAACAUACAAAAAUUCCCAAAAACAUUCAAAACUCGAGCGUGGGAGUGCUUUUUCAGUUACCUCUCCCCUCUGUCAAGAAAGAAGACAGGCUAUUCAGGCGUUCUAGGAUAAGGAAGACGAGAAAGGUUAGUCUCUGGUCCUAUAAAAUCUUUUAGUUGAAAUAGGGCGUAGCGUGGAGUCUUCUAAUCCCAGUAACACUCACACCACCAGUUAGUUAGGGUUUUUACAGAGAGUGUAAAUGGCGAUUGCACAAGAUUUGUAUCCCUCAGAAGACGACCUUUUGUACGAAGAGGAGUUGCUUCGAAACCCUUUCAGCCUUAAGCUAUGGUGGCGUUACCUAAUUGCGCGUUCGGAAGCUCCGUUCAAGAAGCGCUUCGUGAUUUACGAGCGGGCACUGAAGGCGCUUCCCGGAAGCUACAAGCUGUGGCACGCGUACCUCCGCGAGCGCCUCGACCUCGUUCGCAACCUCCCCGUCACUCACUCUCAAUACGAUACGCUCAAUAAUACCUUCGAGCGUGCAUUAGUCACAAUGCACAAGAUGCCGCGAAUUUGGAUUAUGUAUCUGCAAACCCUAACCAAUCAGAAAUUGGUUACUCGAACUCGCAGGACCUUCGACAGGGCUCUCUGCGCCCUCCCCGUCACCCAGCACGACCGUAUCUGGGAACCUUAUCUUGUGUUCGUGAGCCAGAAGGGCAUUCCAAUUGAGACUUCUCUUCGGGUUUAUCGCAGGUAUUUGAAGUAUGAUCCUUCUCACAUUGAGGAUUUUAUUGAAUUUUUGCUUAAUUCGAGUCUCUGGCAAGAGGCUUCUGAGAGGCUGGCUUCUGUCCUCAAUGAUGACCAGUUUUACUCCAUUAAGGGUAAGACCAAGCACCGGCUUUGGUUGGAGUUAUGUGAUUUGCUCACUCGCCAUGCCAAUGAGGUUUCUGGGUUGAAUGUGGACGCUAUCAUUAGGGGUGGGAUUAGGAAGUUCACUGAUGAGGUGGGUAGGCUUUGGACUUCGCUUGCUGAGUAUUACAUUAGGAGGGGUUUGCAUGAGAAGGCUAGGGAUGUGUUUGAGGAGGGUAUGUCUACUGUUAUCACGGUCAGGGAUUUCAGUGUCAUAUUUGAUUCUUACUCGCAGUUUGAAGAGAGCAUGCUUGCUUACAAGAUGGAGGAGAUGGGGUUGAGUGAUGAAGAAGAUGAUGAGGGUGAGGAAAAUGGCUUUGAGGAAGUUGAAGAAGAGGAUAUUCGUGUCAAAGGAAGAUUGGUGGAGGAGGAUUUUGAGAGGAAGAUUUUGCAUGGGUUUUGGUUGAAUGACAAGAAUGACAUAGACUUGAGGUUAGCUCGGUUUGAUUACCUUAUGGAGAGGAGGCCAGAAUUGGCUAACAGCGUGCUUUUGCGUCAAAAUCCUCAUAAUGUAGAACAGUGGCACAGGAGGGUGAAGCUCUUUGAAGGGAAUCCUACCAAGCAGAUACUGACUUACACUGAAGCGGUGAGGACGAUUGAUCCCAUGAAGGCAGUGGGAAAGCCUCACACUUUGUGGGUUGCGUUUGCUAAACUCUAUGAACAACACAAAGAUCUUGCCAAUGCCCGUGUCAUAUUUGACAAGGCAGUGCAGGUGAACUACAAAACUGUGGAUAACCUGGCUAGUGUCUGGUGUGAGUGGGCUGAAAUGGAGUUAAAGCAUAAAAAUUUCAAAGGAGCACUUGAGCUGAUGAGGCGGGCUACAGCUGAGCCAUCAGUUGAGGUGAAGCGAAAAGUGGCUGCGGAUGGGAAUGAACCAGUCCAGAUGAAGCUCCAUAAAUCCUUGAGAUUGUGGACAUUUUAUGUUGAUUUGGAGGAAAGCCUAGGUUCUUUGGAAUCUACACGUGCUGUUUAUGAGCGAAUUUUGGAUUUACGAAUAGCCACACCGCAAAUAAUAAUCAAUUAUGCAUACUUUUUGGAGGAACAUAAGUACUUCGAAGAUGCUUUUAAAGUUUAUGAAAGAGGAGUAAAGAUCUUUAAGUACCCUCAUGUUAAAGACAUAUGGGUUACUUAUCUCUCUAAAUUUGUGAAGAGAUAUGGAAAGAAUAAAUUGGAGCGAGCAAGAGAAUUAUUUGAAAAUGCAGUUGAAUCGGCUCCAGCUGAUCAAGUGAAGCCACUUUACCUGCAAUAUGCCAAGCUGGAGGAGGACUAUGGUCUAGCUAAGCGAGCUAUGAAGGUUUAUGAUCAAGCAACUAAGGCUGUUCCUAACAAUGAGAAGUUAAGCAUGUACGAGAUAUACAUUUCUCGUGCAGCUGAGAUAUUUGGUGUGCCCAAAACAAGAGAGAUCUAUGAGCAGGCAAUUGAAUCUGGUCUCCCAGAUAAGGAUGUCAAAACCAUGUGUUUGAAGUAUGCUGAGCUGGAAAAAAGCUUGGGAGAAAUUGACCGGGCCCGUGCAGUAUAUGUAUUUGCAUCUCAGUAUGCAGAUCCACGAUCUGAUCCCGAGUUUUGGAAUAAGUGGCAUGAGUUUGAGGUUCAGCAUGGGAAUGAAGAUACUUUCAGAGAAAUGCUUCGUAUUAAGCGAAGCGUCUCUGCCAGCUACAGCCAGACGCAUUUUAUACUGCCCGAGUAUUUAAUGCAGAAGGAUCAAACUGUGAACCUUGACGAAGCCAAAGACAAGUUAAAACAGGCUGGGAUCCCUGAGGACGAAAUGGCAGCUUUAGAAAGGCAAUUAGCACCAGCAGUUGAAAAUACUGUGACAAAUGAUAGAAAAGUUGGGUUUGUGAGUGCUGGAGUGGAAUCUCAAUCUGAUGGAGGGAUAAAAACUAAUGCAAAUCACGAGGAUAUUGAGUUACCAGAAGAAAGUGACUCUGAUGAUGAUGAUAAGAUUGAAAUUGCACAAAAAGAUGUUCCUUCUGCUGUGUUUGGUGGUUUGAUUAGAAAGAGAGACGAGGAUGAAAAGAAUGGAGAGGUUGAUGCUGCAAAAGAUAAGGAUAACGAAAAUCGGCUUGGUGCUCUUGAGAGACUAAAGAGGCUAAAACGAAAUUAAAUACUCGGUCUAGGUCUUCCGGAUAAAAUUUUGGUAGCUGUGAAAUUAGUUUUGGUUUGUAUUAUGUACUAUCAAUCUAUCCAAAGAUAACGCUGAAGAUCCUUUCUGAUGGUGCUAAAUCGGAAAAAACGGGGCCACUAUCUUUCCUGCAAUGUGCAUCAAGUUAUCAGAUCAUAGUGGAGUACAAAACAGGGACUUAACAACCUUCUUCCUACCUAGCUUCAGUGAUCUACUUAGCUUCUGCCAGAUUCUGUGUAUCACGUGUUUACAUAGAUAAUAUAAGUGAUGCAUUAGAGUUUAAAUGAGGAAAUUCUGGCAUGGUAGGAUGUUGUUGAUCUAUGACUGGCUAUCUAGAAAAUAGAAUACUGCAAGCGCAGAUUAUUCCCUCUAUGCGUCGUAUGUGCACAUUCCAUAGCAAUUCAGCUUGAUACGUUGUCUCCAACUUAUUCUUCUUUUUCUCAGUCAAAACAGAUUUGGGCACCUUGAUAGUAUCUAUUGAAUAUAGUUGCUGCAGGUGGAGCUUUACCCUCAGUUCUGCAAAAGCAUAAAAACUCUAGUGGAGAGAGAAAUAUGGGUAGGUAACCAACCACUGCCAUUUCCAACAUUUGUAUCAUUCGAGAGUAUACACACUUAUUUUUCUAGAACCAUGACUACCACCAAAGUUCUAAGACUAUUGUGUAACCAUCCAGAACCUACUAAGGUUCUCGUAGCGUUAUGCGUAAAUGUGAUGCAAUAAUACAAAGAUACAGAAGUAUUUGAAACUCUUCCAAUUCUGUAAACAAAAA